UGAAAAGAUUAUUCCAUUUCAUUAGCUGCU
RNAcentral lists this non-coding RNA (30 nucleotides) under Mus musculus (house mouse). Lineage: Eukaryota; Metazoa; Chordata; Mammalia; Rodentia; Muridae. The record is from RNAcentral.